This 440-nucleotide ribosomal RNA is filed under the name uncultured bacterium. Its description in RNAcentral is "bacterial SSU rRNA". It matches the Rfam family "Bacterial small subunit ribosomal RNA", at positions 340 to 773 of the family's 1533-position model. The record is from RNAcentral.
UACGGAAGGCAGCAGUGGGGAAUAUUGCACAAUGGGCGCAAGCCUGAUGCAGCCAUGCCGCGUGUAUGAAGAAGGCCUUCGGGUUGUAAAGUACUUUCAGUCGUGAGGAAGGUGUUAAGGUUAAUAACCUUAGCAAUUGACGUUAGCGACAGAAGAAGCACCGGCUAACUCCGUGCCAGCAGCCGCGGUAAUACGGAGGGUGCGAGCGUUAAUCGGAAUUACUGGGCGUAAAGGGCACGCAGGCGGUUAAUUAAGUUGGAUGUGAAAUCCCCGGGCUUAACCUGGGAAUGGCAUUCAAGACUGGUUAGCUAGAGUCUUGUAGAGGGGGUAGAAUUCCAUGUGUAGCGGUGAAAUGCGUAGAGAUGUGGAGGAAUACCGGUGGCGAAGGCGGCCCCUGGACAAAGACUGACGCUCAUGUGCGAAAGACGUGGGGAGCAAAC